Molecule: ribosomal RNA, 2542 nt
Filed under: Cherax parvus
Lineage: Eukaryota; Metazoa; Arthropoda; Malacostraca; Decapoda; Parastacidae
Description: eukaryotic LSU rRNA
Rfam family: Eukaryotic large subunit ribosomal RNA
Source: RNAcentral
GGGCGACUGAACCGGGAAGAGCCCAGCGCAUAACCUCGUGUCCUAACCCGGCACGAGGGGUGUUGCGUUUCGGAGGGUCCGGCACGCCGUGCCAUACCGCCUAAGUUAGAGCAUGAAUGCAGCCCACUGCCCAUGGAGGGUGUCAGGCCCGUGUGGCGGCGCCCGCGAGGGUAAAGAUGGCACGGUCGGAAAGGGCCUCUCCGUAGAGUCGGGUUGCUUGAUAGUGCAGCCCAAAGCAGGUGGUAAACUCCAUCUAAGGCUAAAUAUGACCACGAGACCGAUAGCGAACAAGUACCGUGAGGGAAAGUUGAAAAGAACUUUGAAGAGAGAGUUCAAGAGUACGUGAAACCGUUAAGAGCCAAACGGAUGGAACCUUGAAGGUCGAACCGAGGGAUUCAGGCGGCCGACUUCGGCUGGGUGCGGGUCUCUCUGUCUGUCCGCCGAUUCAGUCGGAAGCAGCGACCCACGAAUGCUUGGGCGUGCCUGCACCCACGCUGGCGUCGGCCGGCGAUCUUCCCUCGUUGUAGGGCGCCGCGACCCGUUGCUGGGGACGUCGAAGGCCCGGACGGACUGGUAGCCUUGAGGCUUCCUCCUCUUUUUCUCCUUCGUCCGCCUGCCUACCGGCGGCGGCGGGGGGGAAUACACGGGAGGAGGAGGAUGAUUGGCGAAACCGCCGGUGAUCCUGGCGGUCCUGCGACGGUCGCAGAGACGAGCCAGCCCGCGCAAGCGGGCUGUCUCUCGCGGCGUGCAAAGAGAUCGGCGAACCAUCCGACCCGUCCUGAAACACGGACCAAGGAGUCUAACAUGUGUGCGAGUCAGUGGGCGCACUAAACCCAAAGGCGUAAUGAAAGUGACAGGCCCGGCGUGCGCACCUUUCAGUGGCGCGUGCGCCGGAGCCGGGGCCGAUCCCCUCGCCGGCUGCUGACUCUGCCUCCACCUAUCUCCCGCCCCCGGGCAGGUAAGCAUUGGUCGAGUUAUUUUCCCUCUGCCCCUGUCGACAAGGCGUGGCAUAUGGGGGUGGUGGCUGCAGGGAAUGCGAUGGCGUGAAAUAUCCAGCCUGCCUGUGCAGGAGGGGGGGGCGCAGGCCCGGGACUUGCCGAGAUGCCGCCGCCGCCGCCGCCGUCGUCGUGAGGCGUGCGUGCGAGCGUGCGUGCGGCGGCAGCAAGUACCACGAGCAGACAUGUUGGGACCCGAAAGAUGGUGAACUAUGCCUGGCCAGGAUGAAGCCAGAGGAAACUCUGGUGGAGGUCCGUAGCGAUUCUGACGUGCAAAUCGAUCGUCUGAGCUGGGCAUAGGGGCGAAAGACUAAUCGAAUCAUCUAGUAGCUGGUUCCCUCUGAAGUUUCCCUCAGGAUAGCUGGAACUCGCAGGAUGAAUUUCAUCCGGUAAAGCGAAUGAUUAGAGGUCUUGGGGACGAAACGUCCUCAACCUAUUCUCAAACUUUAAAUGGGUGAGAUGCCGAGCUUGCUCGAACACUUUAAUGAAGCUCCGGCAGCUAAUCUGAGUAUCUAGUGGGCCAUUUUUGGUAAGCAGAACUGGCGCUGUGGGAUGAACCAAACGUCGAGUUAAGGGGCCUAAACGAAUGCUCAUUCGGAUCCCAUCGAAAGGCGUUGGUUGCUAUAGACAGCAGGACGGUGGCCAUGGAAGUCGGAAUCCGCUAAGGAGUGUGUAACAACUCACCUGCCGAAGCAACUAGCCCUUAAAAUGGCAUGGCGCUCAAGCAUUCUCCCGAUACUCGACCGCCGGGGCACUAGUGGCCACGCUCUCUCUCAGAGGCGAGGUCUCGAAGCCCCGGUGAGUAAGAGGGUCGCGGUGGUGAGCGUUGAAGGGUUUCGGCGUGGGCCGGCCUGGAGCCGCCACUGGUGCAGAUCUUGGUGGUAGUAGCAAAUACUCGAGAGAGGAGCCCUUGAAGGCCGAAGUGGAGCAGGGUUCCAUGUGAACAUCAGUUGGACAUGGGUUAGUCGCUCCUAAGCCCAAGGCUAAGGCCUGAUCCCACGCCAGUGGCAAAGACACAAAGGCUGGCAGCGCGGCUGUUGCUGCUGCCACAGCGGCAGCAGCAGCAGUCGGCGAAAGGCAAAAAAAGAAGCAGGCAAAUGAAUAACAAUGCCUUGCUACAGGCAAAGGCCAGUUGCUAAGGGAUCAGUGGCGAAAGGGAAUACGGUACUUAUUCCGUAACCAGGACUCGGAUACCAGGCAGGGAGGGCUUUGAAUCAGCCGCCCUGCCGCUAUGGAGGAUCCCGGAAACGGGAACCUGCUCGCGCCCACCGGCGGUGGUCCGGGAAAGAGUUUUCUUUUCUGUUUAAGGCGCCGUGACCCUCAAAGCCAUCCGCUGUGAGAGAGGGUGUUGGUAAGACGGUGUGCCGUAGAGCGCCGCGGUUCUUGCGGCGUCCCGCGCGCCACCGCCGGUCCGUGAAAACGCGAGGCAGGUCAAAACUCCGGCUGAGUCGGGACCACUGUUGCUGCUUGCUCAGUGCCCGCUAAUGGCCCCUAUUUCGGUCCUGUGCGUACCCAUAUCCGCAGCAGGUCUCCAAGGUAAGCAGCCU